Molecule: ribosomal RNA, 285 nt
Filed under: uncultured Thermus sp.
Lineage: Bacteria; Thermotogati; Deinococcota; Deinococci; Thermales; Thermaceae
Description: partial 16S ribosomal RNA
Rfam family: Bacterial small subunit ribosomal RNA
Source: RNAcentral
CGCAACCCCCGCCGUUAGUUGCCAGCGGUUCGGCCGGGCACUCUAACGGGACUGCCCGCGAAAGCGGGAGGAAGGAGGGGACGACGUCUGGUCAGCAUGGCCCUUACGGCCUGGGCGACACACGUGCUACAAUGCCCACUACAAAGCGAUGCCACCCGGCAACGGGGAGCUAAUCGCAAAAAGGUGGGCCCAGUUCGGAUUGGGGUCUGCAACCCGACCCCAUGAAGCCGGAAUCGCUAGUAAUCGCGGAUCAGCCAUGCCGCGGUGAAUACGUUCCCGGGCCUU